UCCUACGGGGGGCAGCAGUGGGGAAUAUUGGACAAUGGGCGAAAGCCUGAUCCAGCCAUGCCGCGUGGGUGAAGAAGGCCUUAGGGUUGUAAACCCCUUUCAGCGGGGAAGAUAAUGACGGUACCCGCAGAAGAAGUCCCGGCUAACUCCGUGCCAGCAGCCGCGGUAAUACGGAGGGGACUAGCGUUGUUCGGAAUUACUGGGCGUAAAGCGCACGUAGGCGGAUUGUUAAGUCAGGGGUGAAAUCCCGAGGCUCAACCUCGGAACUGCCUUUGAUACUGGCAAUCUCGAGUCCGGAAGAGGUGAGUGGAAUUCCUAGUGUAGAGGUGAAAUUCGUAGAUAUUAGGAAGAACACCAGUGGCGAAGGCGGCUCACUGGUCCGGUACUGACGCUGAGGUGCGAAAGCGUGGGGAGCAAACAGGAUUAGAUACCCCUGUAGUCCA
This 443-nucleotide ribosomal RNA is filed under the name uncultured bacterium. RNAcentral describes it as "bacterial SSU rRNA". It matches the Rfam family "Bacterial small subunit ribosomal RNA", at positions 337 to 797 of the family's 1533-position model. The record is from RNAcentral.